RNAcentral lists this transfer RNA (69 nucleotides) under Rattus norvegicus (Norway rat). It matches the Rfam family "tRNA". Rfam says of the family: Transfer RNA (tRNA) molecules are approximately 80 nucleotides in length. Their secondary structure includes four short double-helical elements and three loops (D, anti-codon, and T loops). The record is from Rfam by way of RNAcentral. Lineage: Eukaryota; Metazoa; Chordata; Mammalia; Rodentia; Muridae.
GGGGAUUUAGCUCAGCGGUAGAGCGCUUGCCUAGAGAGCCCAAGGCCCUGGGUUCGAUUCCCAGCUCCG